This 584-nucleotide ribosomal RNA is filed under the name uncultured ammonia-oxidizing bacterium. Its description in RNAcentral is "bacterial SSU rRNA". It matches the Rfam family "Bacterial small subunit ribosomal RNA", at positions 198 to 765 of the family's 1533-position model. The record is from RNAcentral.
GGAGGAAAGUAGGGGAUCGAAAGACCUUGCGCUAAAGGAGCGGCCGAUGUCUGAUUAGCUAGUUGGUGGGGUAAAGGCUUACCAAGGCAACGAUCAGUAGUUGGUCUGAGAGGAUGACCAACCACACUGGGACUGAGACACGGCCCAGACUCUACGGGAGGCAGCAGUGGGGAAUUUUGGACAAUGGGCGAAAGCCUGAUCCAGCCAUGCCGCGUGAGUGAAGAAGGCUUCGGGUUGUAAAGCUCUUUUAGUCAGAAAGAAAGAAUCAUGAUGAAUAAUUAUGAUUUAUGACGGUACUGACAGAAAAAGCACCGGCUAACCACGUGCCAGCAGCCGCGGUAAUACGUAGGGUGCGAGCGUUAAUCGGAAUUACUGGGCGUAAAGGGUGCGCAGGCGGUUUUGUAAGUCAGAUGUGAAAGCCCCGGGCUUAACCUGGGAAUUGCGUUUGAAACUACAAGGCUAGAGUGCAGCAGAGGGGAGUGGAAUUCCAUGUGUAGCAGUGAAAUGCGUAGAGAUGUGGAAGAACACCGAUGGCGAAGGCAGCUCCCUGGGUUGACACUGACGCUCAUGCACGAAAGCGUGGG